CCUUCUGUGACGCUGCCGGGUGACGAGCCUGGAGCCUCGCCAGCUCCUUACCACCUCACGUCACCAUCAUUUCUAUCGCGGGCUCGCCUGAGGUCUGGUCUGGCCACUCAAGCACGCGGUGCGCCAUCGCUGCACUGCCCCGCUGUGCUGUCUCAGAUCUCCAGGACCUAUUCUUUUCUGGCUCCAAGUCUGUGUCCGAACAGCGUAUGUUCCCAACUCCCCGGAGCCCCGGGGACCAUCCUGCACGCUGGUUCUGAGUUCCGUUUGCAGAUUCCACAUACAGAAGCAGGCCACAGGUCCCACCCCCAUUCACGAGCAGGAGGUAAUGCAAAACUCCGGGGGCUCAGGGCAGGAACUAUGGGGCCACGGCAGGAUGUACCCACCACAGAUGGGAGCAACUUGGUCCAGACUGGCACAACAGCUUCCCAAGGAGGAAGGAUGUGAGCCCAUCUCUGAAGGACUGGUGGCUGAGACUCGGCGCCGCCUGCUGGGAGAGGCCUCGGGCCUGGUGUCAGGCCAGACCUUCUCUCCUUCCCCUGCUGACCGUGGACCCCGCCGGACAAGCUCACUCCGGGGCGUGAGCUCACCACGCCUGGGACAGACACGGGGCGCACCGGCGGGAGGAAGCCAGCGCCUG
Suricata suricatta (meerkat) is the source of this 637-nucleotide long non-coding RNA. RefSeq lists it as uncharacterized. The record is from RefSeq and is a predicted model, not a curated record. NCBI's taxonomy places the organism in Eukaryota, Metazoa, Chordata, Mammalia, Carnivora, Herpestidae. The transcript has 3 exons.